Molecule: ribosomal RNA, 439 nt
Filed under: uncultured bacterium
Lineage: Bacteria
Description: partial 16S ribosomal RNA
Rfam family: Bacterial small subunit ribosomal RNA
Source: RNAcentral
CUACGGGUUGCAGCAGUGGGGAAUAUUGCACAAUGGAGGAAACUCUGAUGCAGCAACGCCGCGUGGAGGAUGACACUUUUCGGAGCGUAAACUCCUUUUAUAUAGGAAGAAGAUGACGGUACUAUAUGAAUAAGCGCCGGCUAACUCCGUGCCAGCAGCCGCGGUAAUACGGAGGGCGCAAGCGUUACUCGGAAUCACUGGGCGUAAAGAGCGUGUAGGCGGAUUAAAAAGUCAGAAGUGAAAUCCUAUAGCUUAACUAUAGAACUGCUUCUGAAACUCUUAAUCUAGAAUAUGGGAGAGGUAGAUGGAAUUUCUGGUGUAGGGGUAAAAUCCGUAGAGAUAAGAAGGAAUACCGAUUGCGAAGGCGAUCUACUAGAACAUUAUUGACGCUGAGACGCGAAAGCGUGGGGAGCAAACAGGAUUAGAUACCCGUGUAGUC